AGCGGAGCGCGCCCGGCCCCAUGGACAGCUCGGCCGUCAUUACUCAGAUCAGCAAGGAGGAGGCUCGGGGCCCGCUGCGGGGCAAAGGUGACCAGAAGUCAGCAGCUUCCCAGAAGCCCCGAAGCCGGGGCAUCCUCCACUCACUCUUCUGCUGUGUCUGCCGGGAUGAUGGGGAGGCCCUGCCUGCUCACAGCGGGGCGCCCCUGCUUGUGGAGGAGAAUGGCGCCAUCCCUAAGACCCCAGUCCAAUACCUGCUCCCUGAGGCCAAGGCCCAGGACUCAGACAAGAUCUGCGUGGUCAUCGACCUGGACGAGACCCUGGUGCACAGCUCCUUCAAGCCAGUGAACAACGCGGACUUCAUCAUCCCUGUGGAGAUUGAUGGGGUGGUCCACCAGGUCUACGUGUUGAAGCGGCCUCACGUGGAUGAGUUCCUGCAGCGAAUGGGCGAGCUCUUUGAAUGUGUGCUGUUCACUGCUAGCCUCGCCAAGUACGCAGACCCAGUAGCUGACCUGCUGGACAAAUGGGGGGCCUUCCGGGCCCGGCUGUUUCGAGAGUCCUGCGUCUUCCACCGGGGGAACUACGUGAAGGACCUGAGCCGGUUGGGUCGAGACCUGCGGCGGGUGCUCAUCCUGGACAACUCACCUGCCUCCUAUGUCUUCCAUCCAGACAAUGCUGUGAGUGCGGGCUGGACUGGGACUGGGACAGGAGCUGAGACCCAGGAAGGGGUCAGUCCAUUCAGGCCACCUUGGCCUCCUGGAUCCCCAGUUGGGGGGUGGGUGCCCUCCCAGUCCUUCCUGCAUUCAUUGCCUGUGCCUGCCGCCCACUCCCCUCAUCCACCUGCCCUGUAGCCAUAUGGUCUUUUCCCCUCGCACACAGCAGAGCAUCUGCCAUGCACAGGGGCCCCCACAGGGCAACGGAGUUUGGAAAGUUUCAACUUUUCGAAUUGCCAGUUGUGACCUACUGAUGGCCCACAGAAUUAAUUUAGUGGGUUCUGAUUG
RNAcentral lists this small RNA (998 nucleotides) under Pan troglodytes (chimpanzee). RNAcentral describes it as "retained intron". Lineage: Eukaryota; Metazoa; Chordata; Mammalia; Primates; Hominidae. The record is from RNAcentral.